GCUAAGUGCGGACCUGUUUUCAAUUUUUUGCCGAACCGGAAAGUUUUCGUUUAGGUUUAUAUUGUACCACGAAACCCCAUUCUCUGCUUGGACCUUUAAUCGUACCUUCCGGCGAUGGCCACAGAAGUACUGGUAGCUGCAACGAAUGGAAAUGGUCCCAGGUUAUCGAAAGUCGGAUUCGAUAUCCCGCGUUAUCGGUCUUCUUCAAUAGAAAACAUGGGGGACCGCCAUUCGUUCUACCAAAAGUACCUAAACCCAACGGCAGCGGACGGAAGAAGAAAUGAUUAUUCUCAAGGAAACAGUUGGCCACUGUUUCACGUUUAACAGUUGAUGGGGCUGAAAAUGAAAGAGCGAGAAUUUCCUGCAUACCGAAGAAGUUUCCUGGAUUCGGCUACUCGGCUAAAGUUGAUUUCAACCCCCACAAAGCGGAGGCAGAAGAUUCUCAAACAUAAUGGAGUUUAUCGUCUACAUCCAAAGAAUCAAGCGUGAGAAGGCUACAACGGACCGAAAAUCUGUGAAGGUUCCAACGGAUCGUAAAGCCAUCUUGAAUCGCUGUGUGGUUGAUCAGCUGAGGAAAAAAUUAACCGUUUUUUUAACGAUAAAUUAGUGAUAAUAUGAUAAAUGAUUCAAUUGUGCAAUUAUGUUUAUAAAAUAUUUUUAAUAAA
Molecule: long non-coding RNA, 665 nt
Organism: Uranotaenia lowii
Lineage: Eukaryota; Metazoa; Arthropoda; Insecta; Diptera; Culicidae
Exons: 3
Source: RefSeq, a predicted model, not a curated record